Molecule: non-coding RNA, 245 nt
Filed under: Filifactor alocis
Lineage: Bacteria; Bacillati; Bacillota; Clostridia; Peptostreptococcales; Filifactoraceae
Description: T-box sequence
Rfam family: T-box leader
About the family: Uncharged tRNA acts as the effector for transcription antitermination of genes in the T-box leader family. T-boxes are found upstream of many aminoacyl-tRNA synthetase genes and some amino acid biosynthetic genes usually in Gram-positive bacteria.
Source: RNAcentral
CAUAAACCAUUGAAUAAGAAUAGUAGGUAUAUAACAAUAACUCACAGAGAGCUAUGGAGGAUGAGAACAUAGCAGAUAUGUAUAUACCGAAUGGACUUAUGAGGGCGAACGAACAGGAUUCAAUCCUAAGUAGCAAUCGACGGCAACCGCAGUCGUUAUUAAGCGGAGCGUAUGAUAGUACGUGUGAAAGGUGGAUGCUUUUAGGCAUCAAUUUGAGUGGUACCGCAGGAUAUUUCGUCUUGUCU